GCUACGGGAGGCAGCAGUGGGGAAUAUUGGGCAAUGGGCGCAAGCCUGACCCAGCAACGCCGCGUGAAGGAAGAAGGCUUUCGGGUUGUAAACUUCUUUUCUCAGGGACGAAGCAAGUGACGGUACCUGAGGAAUAAGCCACGGCUAACUACGGGCCAGCAGCCGCGGGAAGACGUAGGUGGCAAGCGUUAUCCGGAUUUACUGGGUGUAAAGGGCGAGUAGGCGGGGCUGCCAGUCAGAUGGGAAAACCACGGGCUCAACCUGUGGCCUGCAUUUCAAACUGUAGGUCUUGAGUACUGGAGAGGCAGCCGGAAUUCCUAGUGUAGCGGUGCAAUGCGUAGAUAUUAGGAGGAACACCAGUGGCGAAGGCGGUCUGCUGGACAGCAACUGACGCUGAGGCGCG
This 403-nucleotide ribosomal RNA is filed under the name uncultured bacterium. RNAcentral describes it as "partial 16S ribosomal RNA". It matches the Rfam family "Bacterial small subunit ribosomal RNA", at positions 338 to 755 of the family's 1533-position model. The record is from RNAcentral.